RNAcentral lists this ribosomal RNA (468 nucleotides) under uncultured bacterium. Its description in RNAcentral is "partial 16S ribosomal RNA". It matches the Rfam family "Bacterial small subunit ribosomal RNA", at positions 28 to 507 of the family's 1533-position model. The record is from RNAcentral.
GACGAACGCUGGCGGCGUGCUUAACACAUGCAAGUCGAACGGAAAGGCCCUGCUUUUGUGGGGUGCUCGAGUGGCGAACGGGUGAGUAACACGUGAGUAACCUGCCCUUGACUUUGGGAUAACUUCAGGAAACUGGGGCUAAUACCGGAUAGGAGCUCCUGCUGCAUGGUGGGGGUUGGAAAGUUUCGGCGGUUGGGGAUGGACUCGCGGCUUAUCAGCUUGUUGGUGGGGUAGUGGCUUACCAAGGCUUUGACGGGUAGCCGGCCUGAGAGGGUGACCGGCCACAUUGGGACUGAGAUACGACCCAGACUCCUACAGGAGGCAGCAGUGAUGAAUAUUCCACAAUGGGCGGAAGCCUGAUGCAGCAACGCCGCGUGCGGGAUGACGGCCUUCGGGUUGUAAACCGCUUUCGCCUGUGACGAAGCGUGAGUGACGGUAAUGGGUAAAGAAGCACCGGCUAACUACGUG